RNAcentral lists this ribosomal RNA (466 nucleotides) under uncultured bacterium. Its description in RNAcentral is "partial 16S ribosomal RNA". It matches the Rfam family "Bacterial small subunit ribosomal RNA", at positions 28 to 507 of the family's 1533-position model. The record is from RNAcentral.
GAUGAACGCUGGCGGCGUGCUUAACACAUGCAAGUCGAACGAUGAAGCCCAGCUUGCUGGGUGGAUUAGUGGCGAACGGGUGAGUAACACGUGAGUAACCUGCCCUUGACUCUGGGAUAAGCCUGGGAAACUGGGUCUAAUACUGGAUAUGACUUCUCAUCGCAUGGUGGGGGGGGUAAGGAUUUUUUGUUUUUGGAUGGACUCGCGGCCUAUCAGCUUGUUGUUGGGGUAAUGGUUCACCAAGGCGAGGCCGGGUAGCCGGCCUGAGAGGGUGACCGGCCACACUGGGACUGAGACACGGCCCAGACUCCUACGGGAGGCAGCAGUGGGGAAUAUUGCACAAUGGGCGCAAGCCUGAUGCAGCGACGCCGCGUGAGGGAUGACGGCCUUCGGGUUGUAAACCUCUUUCAGUAGGGAAGAAGCGAGAGUGACGGUACCUGCAGAAGAAGCGCCGGCUAACUACGUG